This 2206-nucleotide ribosomal RNA is filed under the name Campylobacter coli. RNAcentral's name for it is "partial 23S ribosomal RNA". It matches the Rfam family "Bacterial large subunit ribosomal RNA", at positions 1 to 2062 of the family's 2925-position model. The record is from RNAcentral. Lineage: Bacteria; Pseudomonadati; Campylobacterota; Epsilonproteobacteria; Campylobacterales; Campylobacteraceae.
AGGUAAGCUACUAAGAGCGAAUGGUGGAUGCCUUGACUGGUAAAGGCGAUGAAGGACGUACUAGACUGCGAUAAGCUACGGGGAGCUGUCAAGAAGCUUUGAUCCGUAGAUUUCCGAAUGGGGCAACCCAAUGUAUAGAGAUAUACAUUACCUAUAUAGGAGCGAACGAGGGGAAUUGAAACAUCUUAGUACCCUCAGGAAAAGAAAUCAAUAGAGAUUGCGUCAGUAGCGGCGAGCGAAAGCGCAAGAGGGCAAACCCAGUGCUUGCACUGGGGGUUGUAGGACUGCAAUGUGCAAGAGGUGAGUUUAGCAGAACAUUCUGGAAAGUAUAGCCAUAGAGGGUGAUAGUCCCGUAUGCGAAAAACAAACCUUAGCUAGCAGUAUCCUGAGUAGGGCGGGACACGAGAAAUCCUGUCUGAAGCUGGGUCGACCACGAUCCAACCCUAAAUACUAAUACCAGAUCGAUAGUGCACAAGUACCGUGAGGGAAAGGUGAAAAGAACUGAGGUGAUCAGAGUGAAAUAGAACCUGAAACCAUUUGCUUACAAUCAUUCAGAGCCCUAUGUAGCAAUACAGGGUGAUGGACUGCCUUUUGCAUAAUGAGCCUGCGAGUUGUGGUGUCUGGCAAGGUUAAGCAAACGCGAAGCCGUAGCGAAAGCGAGUCUGAAUAGGGCGCUUAGUCAGAUGCUGCAGACCCGAAACGAAGUGAUCUAUCCAUGAGCAAGUUGAAGCUAGUGUAAGAACUAGUGGAGGACUGAACCCAUAGGCGUUGAAAAGCCCCGGGAUGACUUGUGGAUAGGGGUGAAAGGCCAAUCAAACUUCGUGAUAGCUGGUUCUCUCCGAAAUAUAUUUAGGUAUAGCGUUGUGUCGUAAUAUAAGGGGGUAGAGCACUGAAUGGGCUAGGGCAUACACCAAUGUACCAAACCCUAUCAAACUCCGAAUACCUUAUAUGUAAUCACAGCAGUCAGGCGGCGAGUGAUAAAAUCCGUCGUCAAGAGGGAAACAACCCAGACUACCAGCUAAGGUCCCUAAAUCUUACUUAAGUGGAAAACGAUGUGAAGUUACUUAAACAACCAGGAGGUUGGCUUAGAAGCAGCCAUCCUUUAAAGAAAGCGUAAUAGCUCACUGGUCUAGUGAUUUUGCGCGGAAAAUAUAACGGGGCUAAAGUAAGUACCGAAGCUGUAGACUUGCGCACAACUUAGAUUAUUUAAGUUUAGAAUAUGAGAAACUAAGUUAUAUGUUUAGUUAUAUUUUUACUGAUUUUUAUAGAGUAAAGAUAGAAAUAAAACUUAGUAAAAUCAGUAAAAAUAUUCUUAGACUAAAGUUAAGUAGUUUAAGUUGUGUGCAAGUGGUAGGAGAGCGUUCUAUUUGCGUCGAAGGUAUACCGGUAAGGAGUGCUGGAGCGAAUAGAAGUGAGCAUGCAGGCAUGAGUAGCGAUAAUUAAUGUGAGAAUCAUUAACGCCGUAAACCCAAGGUUUCCUACGCGAUGCUCGUCAUCGUAGGGUUAGUCGGGUCCUAAGUCGAGUCCGAAAGGGGUAGACGAUGGCAAAUUGGUUAAUAUUCCAAUACCAACAUUAGUGUGCGAUGGAAGGACGCUUAGGGCUAAGGGGGCUAGCGGAUGGAAGUGCUAGUCUAAGGUCGUAGGAGGUUAUACAGGCAAAUCCGUAUAACAAUACUCCGAGAACUGAAAGGCUUUUUGAAGUCUUCGGAUGGAUAGAAGAACCCCUGAUGCCAUCGAGCCAAGAAAAGUUUCUAAGUUUAGCUAAUGUUGCCCGUACCGUAAACCGACACAGGUGGGUGGGAUGAGUAUUCUAAGGCGCGUGGAAGAACUCUCUUUAAGGAACUCUGCAAAAUAGCACCGUAUCUUCGGUAUAAGGUGUGGUUCGCUUCGUAUUAGGAUUUACUCCGAAAGCGAAGAAACUUACAACAAAGAGUCCCUCCCGACUGUUUACCAAAAACACAGCACUCUGCUAACUCGUAAGAGGAUGUAUAGGGUGUGACGCCUGCCCGGUGCUCGAAGGUUAAUUGAUGGGGUUAGCAUUAGCGAAGCUCUUGAUCGAAGCCCGAGUAAACGGCGGCCGUAACUAUAACGGUCCUAAGGUAGCGAAAUUCCUUGUCGGUUAAAUACCGACCUGCAUGAAUGGCGUAACGAGAUGGGAGCUGUCUCAAAGAGGGAUCCAGUGAAAUUGUAGUGGAGGUGAAAAUUC